RNAcentral lists this ribosomal RNA (429 nucleotides) under Bacteroidota bacterium. RNAcentral's name for it is "Bacteroidetes bacterium partial 16S ribosomal RNA". It matches the Rfam family "Bacterial small subunit ribosomal RNA", at positions 355 to 776 of the family's 1533-position model. The record is from RNAcentral. Lineage: Bacteria; Pseudomonadati; Bacteroidota.
UAGGGAAUCUUCCGCAAUGGACGCAAGUCUGACGGAGCAACGCCGCGUGAGUGAAGAAGGAUUUCGGUUCGUAAAACUCUGUUGUUAGAGAAGAACAGCGCAUAGAGUAACUGUUAUGCGUGUGACGGUAUCUAACCAGAAAGCCACGGCUAACUACGUGCCAGCAGCCGCGGUAAUACGUAGGUGGCAAGCGUUGUCCGGAUUUAUUGGGCGUAAAGCGAGCGCAGGCGGUCAAUUAAGUCUGAUGUGAAAGCCCCCGGCUCAACCGGGGAGGGUCAUUGGAAACUGGUUAACUUGAGUGCAGAAGGGGAGAGUGGAUUUCCAUGUGUAGCGGUGAAAUGCGUAAAUAUAUGGAGAAACACCAGUGGCGAAGGCGACUCUCUGGUCUGUAACUAACGCUGAGGCUCGAAAGCGUGGGUAGCAAACAGG